CCCUUAAUGUACUGUUCAUCCUUUUAGCAGAAUUAGACAUUUCUCUGCAUAAUUUAAAUCGCAAUACAUACAUCCAAAUAAACAUCAAACCCUAGAUUAUCACUGACAUUAAACUAUGUUCUUAAUGGAGCAUCACAAGACUCCUCCUUUAAAUAAAACAACAAAAUAAAACCCAUAAUAUAUGCUGAAAAAUCGCUGAUUAUAACAAUAUCUCGAAAUAUAACCCGAAGAUCUUAAAUUUCUCAUAACAGAGAAUCAGGAAGCACAUAUAUUUGUAUUGAUAGAAACAAUCGAAAAGGAAAAAAAGUAUACACCUUCUUACUUGAAACCCUUUGCAGUUGAUUAUAUGUGUGACUUGCUCAAAAGCACCUUUCUUGAAAUCUAAAAUUGAGAUAGAUUAAUUAUUAUGAGGAGCUUUGAUAACCAAAAUUGAAUAUUUUGAAGAGAUAGAAGAACCAGAGAGUUUAGGAGGAAGAAUAGGAUCCCAAGAGAAAUGAGAUUCCAGAAAGUACGGCUAACAAGA
RNAcentral lists this long non-coding RNA (523 nucleotides) under Solanum tuberosum (potato). Its description in RNAcentral is "long non-coding RNA (STUB_LNC006643)". The record is from RNAcentral. Lineage: Eukaryota; Viridiplantae; Streptophyta; Magnoliopsida; Solanales; Solanaceae.